CUAACCACAAGUUUGGCUUUCACACCAGCAACGAGUUUCAAACCCAAACCUUCAUUUUUUAGUUUGAAGGAAAUAACGCAAGCACUUUCGAAACGUACGUUACUUUCUAGUUCUCGCCUCACUCUCACUCUCACUCUCACUGUCUCUUUCUCUCGACGUGUCUCCUCCGCCCUCAGUACUUCCACAUAAGUAACAUCACCCAAAUCCGUCGCUUGAAUCCCGAAUCUAGUCACACCAGUCCUCAUUCCUCAGUCCUCAAUCCCUACUCGUGAAUCCAUUACCUGAAUCGUGACUUCACCCCACUGUCCAUACCACCCGAAUCCGGCUUCUGAAUCGAGCUCUCAGUCUCAGUCUGCACUCCUCCUCACUACACAAGGGGCUGUUUGGUAGUUUUCCCUCUUCUGAAGCAGGGAGUGAUAGAAUACAACAAGAUGCAGCAGCAGCAGCAGCAUAUACAAGCGACGAAGAAUACCAGAAUUAUGAGCAAAAGAGUGAUGGCAACUUCUCUGAUGAAAAUGAUUGAUAACAUCUCCAAGGUACUCAAAUUUAUAUUUUUCUGAGGCCUCGAUAAUAUUGUGUUUUAGUCGUGGCUGAGGGAGGGGCAGAAGACCAUCGAAUCUAAAGCAAGGGGAUGCUGUCAUUGCAGUGUGAUCCUAACUUGAACUUGGACUUAGGAGUUGGAGAGCUCCAAAAAUAUUAGAGAACAUAUUUCAUGAUUUGCUUUUAACAUUUGUAAAUCCUGAUUUUCUUUUACUCUGCUUUUCACUUGAUGUUUUAGUUUUGGAACUGAUAAAUCAACACAAAAAAUUUGUGGGACCGAAAAACAGCCAUUAGCCAUAACAAAGUUCUGUCGAUCAAG
Molecule: long non-coding RNA, 859 nt
Organism: Malus domestica (apple)
Lineage: Eukaryota; Viridiplantae; Streptophyta; Magnoliopsida; Rosales; Rosaceae
Source: RefSeq, a predicted model, not a curated record